CAGCGGGACACCACCGUGGCGGACGAAUGAUUUAGGUGGUGCACUUAAAGACCCCCAGCAGCAGCCGCCUUUCUAAAGUCCCUGAUGCAAUUCAUCAUCUUAUUACACUUACUCGGCAGUCAUCCAGCAUUUAACCCA
Molecule: non-coding RNA, 138 nt
Organism: Caenorhabditis elegans
Lineage: Eukaryota; Metazoa; Nematoda; Chromadorea; Rhabditida; Rhabditidae
Source: Ensembl